GUAGGUUCCUGUUGUUUAUCUAUUUUAUAUACAUUAGUAGUGUGUACCAACUGUUCUUAAUUGCAGCACAUCAGGUUAGCUUCACUUGUCCUUGAAUAGAAUAGAAUUAAAAUAGAAAUAGAAUAACAAAGCCUAUGUACUCUUGUGGCUGGCUUCAUUCAUCAUUAUGCUUUUGAUAUUCAUCCAAAUUGUUGAAUGCACUGGUGGUUAAUUUUUUUUUUAUGAAUAUAAUUUUUUUUCCUUUCCCUGUUGUUGGAUAUUUGGGUUAUUUCCAGCUUGAAGUUACUGAUGAAGAAGACUGCUAUCAGUAUUUUUGUGCAAGCUUUUCUUGAAAUGUGUGUCCUAAGAAAUCUUUGCCUCUUAGGUCAUAAAGUCGUUUCUUAUGUCCUUAAAGAAGCUUUUUUUUUUAAAAUGUUUGUAACUGUGAUCUGUGUCAAAAUAAUUUUUACGUAUAAUGUGAGGUGAGGAUCAAGUUUCAUUUUUAUCUGGUUGUUCAAACCCUGUUUGUUGAAAAGAAACCUUUCUUUCUCCAUUUGAUUACUUUGCAUUGUCUGUUGAGAAUCAAUGAGUCAUUUAUGUAUAGAUCUGUCCAGGAGUUUCUGUUUAGUUCCAUUGAUCUAUGUACUUACCUUAAUUCUCAUAGCACACUGUUUUAAUUACUGUAGCUGUAGAAUAAGUAUUAAAAUCAUAGAAUGAGUAUUUAUGUAUUGAUUUUUCUCAUUAGGUCAUACAAGUGCAUUUAUAGACCUCUUGACAAUGAAGAUAAACUGCAUCCAGUGUCCUAUAUGGUGCUGAGUGGCCCCGUCGGUUUUCAGCACUGCAGUGAUUUUCAACCCACGGACACAAUAGAUCGUGCCAUCAGACAUCAUGAUAUAGAUGGUUGAUCUGCUGGUGGAAAAUGUCCCUUUGAGUACCCUGCGAUGCCCCUUCCUCCGUCGCUGCCUCACUGAGUCUCCUGUAGGGGGAGAACAGAUGUUGUAUGGAUGAUGAACCCUAGGCACCCAGCUGGGGCUGCAUUUGUGUGGAUUCCGGCUCAGUUGGAGAGAUCUGCAAGUUCAAAGCCUGUGCCUUCUUUCCAAAUGGGAUCCCCCCUCUUGCCUUCUCUCCCUCACUUCCCACCCCGCCUGCCUCCCAUCAGGACUCUCCCCACUCCACCUCAUAGCUGCCUCCUGGCCUCCUCCUAGCCUACAGACAGCCUGAAU
Molecule: non-coding RNA, 1202 nt
Organism: Odocoileus virginianus texanus
Lineage: Eukaryota; Metazoa; Chordata; Mammalia; Artiodactyla; Cervidae
Source: RefSeq, a predicted model, not a curated record